RNAcentral lists this unclassified non-coding RNA (974 nucleotides) under Hevea brasiliensis (rubber tree). The record is from RNAcentral. Lineage: Eukaryota; Viridiplantae; Streptophyta; Magnoliopsida; Malpighiales; Euphorbiaceae.
CCUCUCCCCGCCAUACACACACGCAACAUGAAGAAUUAAAGUGAGAGCAAAAGGUUAAAAGAACAAAAUGGGGUGCCUUCCAUGCCUAGUUCAUAGCAAGCCAUCCACUAGAGAUGUCUUCCUUAUCAAGCAAAAUGGCAAGCUAAUCAAAGCCAAACAAGGAACCCUUCUCGAACACAUUUUAGCUUCUCAUCCAAAUCACAUUGGACUGCAAGGAACUCUGUCGUCGGACCCUUCAGUUCCGAUGAUGGUGCUGCCAGAUUCUUUUCGGCUUGGCUGCGGGGAUAACAAUGAGAUAUACUUUCUGGUGACCAAAGAGCAAGUUUCGUCAAACCCUGAAACCUCCAUGAGGCUGGCACGCUACAGAACUGAAAGUGGUGAAGAAAGUAGCGAUCACAGAAGCGGAGAUCACAAGAAGCGGCAAACGAGUAAGUCCAGCUGAAAACUUGGAAAUGAAAAGCAACGGCAGCAGCUCACAAAUGCUUCUUUAGAACAUAAGAGAUGGCAACCAGCCCAGCAUUCCACACCAGAGAUGUACUCGACAAAGAACUUGUAAAUAUUGGACUGUUAACCCAUUUACAUUCAGUUUUGUUUAAAAAAUCUUUUUUUUUUCCUUUCUUUUUCUUUUUAUCACACACUCUAAUCUCACCCUUUCUUGUAUGUGUUGUUCACUUACCUACAAUCAAAAUGACAAUGAAAAAUUGAAAAUCGAAUCAAAAUGAAAAUAUUAAUCAGACCCAUUAAUUCAAUUUUUUAACAAAAUUGCAGAUAAUUUCAGUUACACCCUAGAUCAUUUUCAUUAUCUUCACACUGGUUUUCUUUAUUGUUUAUUUAAUUGAUUUUUUUUAGAGAAAAUUUUUUUUUACACAAAAAAGCAAAUCAAAAUAGAUAAUUAAAUGUUAGAUUUUAUAUUUAAACUCAGCGACACUAGCGCAAUAACCUCUAAAACUGUGAAGUAAAGUCUUAAUUAAAAC